UCACUGAUCCUUUCUGUCCAUGCGCGCAGCAGCAGUGUUGGGAACUCAACCAUGCCUUUCUCCCCCGGCUUACUCAGAAGUAAAAAAUCGCCAUCACCAUGGUUUGUUCGUGACGGGCAAACCUUCGUACACGGUACCUUCGUACGGAAAGGGACAAAGGUUCAGGAAAAAUGUUAACACUAAUUAAGUAUGUUCUUGUGAUGUAGGCGUUCGAGAACUGACCCAGCAUGGAGGACCCUGAGAAGCAGGCGACUAUCCUCCGACCAGUGCGCGACGAAGGACACAGAGCCCCAGUCUAGGGCGAGGCUAGGGACCUCAAGCGGUGGGCACAUAACCUUCGACAGCCGGCCACCGAAGGAUCCGGACCUCCGGCCAAGGCAAGGCAGAGGAAUAGGUUGCAUCAAGGCCAAGAGCCCGGCGCAUCGACCCAUGAAGUGUUCACGGGUUGAAAUUACUCAAGUAACCCCACGAGUCGUAGACAGCGCUGGCGGAAUAUGCUGGAAUAUUCUACCACCAUCAUGGGGUAUUUUUGUAACGGAUCCCAGCCAGAAUCCGCGCUCUAUAUAAAGGGAUUGUAAAUGCUCUUUCAGGAGUUAGUUGAAUUCAAAUUAUUAUUGAAG
RNAcentral lists this long non-coding RNA (620 nucleotides) under Sorghum bicolor (sorghum). RNAcentral's name for it is "long non-coding RNA (SBIC_LNC009446)". The record is from RNAcentral. Lineage: Eukaryota; Viridiplantae; Streptophyta; Magnoliopsida; Poales; Poaceae.